Ictalurus punctatus (channel catfish) is the source of this 703-nucleotide long non-coding RNA. RefSeq lists it as uncharacterized. The record is from RefSeq and is a predicted model, not a curated record. Lineage: Eukaryota; Metazoa; Chordata; Actinopteri; Siluriformes; Ictaluridae. The transcript has 4 exons.
CAGCCGCCUGGAGUAAAAAAAAAACAAAACAUUUUGGCGGUUAAAUAAGUUAGGAUCCUCUGGCUGCGGUCAGUCUGCGUUUUCAUUCAGCUGAAGAAGACAGCUAUGAGAAAGGAAGGAGAAAGGUUCGAGAGGCUGAGGUUCGAUCUGACCUUUAGUCAAAUGCAGAAGAGCCAGGCUGAAAAAAUGGCAGGUGCAAAAUGCCAAGCAUUCGACUUUUGAGCUCCUCUUUGAUGGACUUUGAGGAAGAUGAUGCUUUACAGCAGGAUUCCACAGGUCUUCCUGCUCCUCCACCAGUCUAUCAGCUUGACUGACCCACAGAGGGGACUUCAAUAUCCUUUACAGAAAUGCUGACCAGUAACCAUGCCAUCUGGCAGCCUGAGGGUUUCACAUGUGAACAUGCUGUCCGAAAGAACCCGUUAACAUCAAGGGCACCAAGUGCUGAAAUUGAGACAGUGAUGAAAAGGCGGCUGCAUCUGGCUACAGACCAUGGAGGAGGACGGAAGAGGCGCGACAAACAGUAGCUUGCCCUUGAUAUACAUUGAUAUGAAUUCUGCUCGUUUACAUUACAUUCUAACUGAUAAUCUGUGGUACAUGUUAAAUUCAUGUUUUUGUUUUGUUCAUUUGUCAUUGUCUCUGCGUUGUUAAGUUAAUGUUUAAUGUAAUUUUUUUUAAUUUGAUGGGCUGUGAAAUAUUUUUAUAC